This 286-nucleotide unclassified non-coding RNA is filed under the name Hevea brasiliensis (rubber tree). Lineage: Eukaryota; Viridiplantae; Streptophyta; Magnoliopsida; Malpighiales; Euphorbiaceae. The record is from RNAcentral.
GCUGGCCUUGAAGAUCAGAUGGCAAUGAGGGUGCGCAUGGGCGACCAGCGAGGUGUCCAUAUCAAGAAGAGCGACUCGCCCGAAAGCUCCGCUCAAGAUGCUCAACGCCUUGGUCACAGACGUACCCCGGCAAGCCGCUGCCUUCUGCAGCACGGAAUAAUUCUAUCAUGCAUGGCGGAUCGGCGAAACACGGACGACGACGCUAAAGAAACAUCUGAAAUGAUAAAAAAUCCGCCUCGGUGCAAAGUAGCCCUUUAGCAUGGAUUCUAGAUUUCUUCCGGUCAAU